RNAcentral lists this ribosomal RNA (253 nucleotides) under uncultured bacterium. RNAcentral describes it as "partial 16S ribosomal RNA". It matches the Rfam family "Bacterial small subunit ribosomal RNA", at positions 524 to 776 of the family's 1533-position model. The record is from RNAcentral.
UACGGAGGGGGCUAGCGUUGUUCGGAAUUACUGGGCGUAAAGCGCACGUAGGCGGCUUUGUAAGUUAGAGGUGAAAGCCCGGGGCUCAACUCCGGAAUUGCCUUUAAGACUGCAUCGCUAGAAUUGUGGAGAGGUAAGUGGAAUUCCGAGUGUAGAGGUGAAAUUCGUAGAUAUUAGGAAGAACACCAGUGGCGAAGGCGGCUCACUGGCCCGGUACUGACGCUGAGGCGCGAAAGCGUGGGGAGCAAACAGG